UCUCAUCUCACAAUUGAAGCCAGCUCUUCUAUUUUCUUCUAGGGUUCGAAGCUGGCUCUUCUAUUUUCUUCUAGGGUUCUCCUCCAUCUCCUUCAAUCAGGUAAUAAUUGACUCUUUUCUUUACAAUAGGAGAUGGAAAGCCUCAGGAACUCAUAAUUUGAUAUGGGUUUUUUCUGUGGACUACCGAAUUAUCCUUCAAUUCGAGAUUUGCUAUUUUUAUUUUUAUUUUUGGGUUUGAGGGUGUUGUUGGGAUGGAUUUGAAUCAGAUUUUAGCAGUUGGAUUUGAUAAUUUCAUGAAGAUCUGAUUUUUAUAUGAUACUAUAACAUUUUCAAGAUUUUAUCUUUACGGUCUGGGGAAAUUUUGGAGCCUCUGCACGAACUACUCUAAUAAAAAAUAAUUUGUGUUAAUUUGAGAAUAAAAAUGAGAUAAAAAAGAAUUUGAAACAUAAAUAUAAUAUGUAAAAAUUAUGAACUUUUCAUGCAAUUAAUAUUGUUUAUGUUAUUCCUCUCUGAACGACUCGGUUAUAUAUUUUAUUGUUCUUGAGAAGUUAUAAUUUAUUGGCUUGAUUUUUACUAUUUUAUUGUUUGGUUAGAAUAAAGAGAUAUCACAUUGAGAAAUUGUGUCAAUGCAUUCAGAAAUUGUACCGAGUCGAGUUCGAACUUGCUGUUAUUUUGUUGAUAAUUAGUUUAGCCCUAAUUUAUAAUAAGCAAUAUAGUUUAGUACAAUAAUUGGUAAUAUUUACUUAAAAUACAGAGCCCAACCAUCUGCGAAUUAACAUUAUGCAUUAUAAUUAAUCAUUUUAAAAACUUAAAUAAUCAUUCUGUGUUCUCAAGUCUGAAUUUAUUUCAAUUCCACCUUUUUAUUGUCAAUUUGAUGAAAUUUUGUUGCACAUAGACAUAAUAGGCAGCACAUAGACAUAACCGUGUGUGAGUGUAGAGCUGGGUGGGGUGGAUGAGGGAUUUGUUUGUUGGAGUUGUAUUUGGUUGUUCAAUUCUGUAGCUUGGUUUCUAGAUUUAUGAUCAUUAUUAUUGACUUGAUUUCUUAUAAAAUUAUUUCAGGCUAUGUGAUUAAUUCUUGCUCCAUUGUGAAGUAUGAUAGAUCAACGCAAUUAUCUAAAAUUUCUGGAUUGGAAAAAUAAUCUGUUUGGUGUUGCUUGCUUGCUCUAUUUGCUUCUUGUAUAUGGUCUAAUAUGUGGUGCAUUAUUUAUGUUGUAUAGACAACUGAAGGAGAUGCUUUAACUUGGAAGCUGGUAAAGAUUAAAAUGAAUUUAAUUUCACAUUUUCUUGUUCAUUCAUGCUUUUUCCUUUUCUCCUUUUUAAUUUGUUUUUGAAUGGAAAAAGCUUCAUUUUUUAGCUAUUGUAGAGGUCUUGAGGAAUUUCUUGUUUGUUUCUCUGAUUCUGUGUCAUCAAGAUGGAUGUAGCAUCAGGCUAACAACCAAGAAAACUAGCUGUGUCAUCAAAAUGGAUGGCUAUAGAUGGAUGGAUCAGAUUUUAUCUGUCUUUCUGGUGAAUUUGGAUGUAAAUAUAAAUUUCUUGGCAUCUGGUUUAUAAUUUGCCAGGUUCUUUUGGAAAUGUGCACUAAAAUAAUCCAGGGCGUUUCAUUUUCUUCCUUGCAAGUUAUGAGAUUCUGGGGAUUAAAUCUUUUGCUAACUUUCAGUUUAUGCAGUAGAAAAUAGAAAAAGAUAUAGCCCCCAGACCUUUAAGGAGGUAUUUGUGAACGCCAAAAACUGUUGGUGAUGCUUUAAUUGACAGAAAUUCCACUACACUCUUCACUUAAAUUAGCUACAUGAUUCAUAUGGUACAACUGAGAUAAAGACAGUAAAGCUGGUUGACACACUAAAAUAAACGUGGUUAAGAAAGAAAGACUGCUUCCUCGUCUACUUUGUUGUUCCAGCACCAUCAUCCUCAGGGAGGGGAAGGGGUGUGACUAUAGCUUUUAUGGAAAGUAUUUUCUAUUUGGUUGCUCUAUUUGCUUCUUCCUCUAUUUGUUGAGCCAUGAUCCUAGCGAGCACUUAAGUUGGUUUUCUAUUAGUCUAGAUUAAUAUUCCAUUCACUUGAAUAAGUCUCAAUGAUAUGUCAAUUUUUGGAAACCGAGUGGCUAUGUUCUCUUGACUUUUUAUGCGACAUAACUCUGGGUUUGGAUGGGAUCAUGUGACGAAGAAAUUUACUGCUAGUGAUGAAGUAUGGGACAAUUACUUUAUGGUGAGCUUCCUUUAUUACUUGAUUUAGAAACUUAUGAAAUUUGAGUUAAUGGUCAGUGAAGUGUAUGUUUCAUAUGUUAACAUUUAUAAAUAUUUUUUUCUUUAAUAGUCUCAUUCCGAAGAUAAAAGUUAUCGCACAGACACUUUUCUAGACUAUGAGGAUUUGAGAAUUGCAAUGGGAAGUGGGACAGCUGUUGGGACACACUCAAUUGCAUUAGGGGAUAAUACUGAUGCAAGAACAUUUUAUACAGAAGAAAGAAGAGUUAGCGACAGUUUAAUAGACGACUUCAUGUAUGAUCCUGAUACUGAAACAUUUAUAGUAAUUGAUAAACAAGAUCUUAUAAGUUCAGGGGUUUGCCCAUUAAUUCGAAAACGAAGUAGAACAGAAUUUGAAGCAAAAUCUAGUUCGUUUGAGCCCAAAAGCACUCAAUUAGGCAUUUUAGAUAAACUUGCUAGUACAUUUGACAAGAUCACUCAAGCAAUUGAAUCAAUUGACACCAGAGAGCCUAAUUGUUGGAACAUUAUCAAGGACAUCCCAAACUUGGAGGAUGAUGAUCGUUUUAAGGUCCUUGAUUUGCUUAAUACAAAAGCAAAAAAGUCUGAGUUCUUGAACAUGACACCCGAAGAACGUUCUAAAUGGAUAACAUUUAAAUUAAAUUGAAGCUUUGUUUUGUGGACAUGAUUCAUAGUAAUUUUUGAAGUUUUUGAAUUGUUUCUCGUUUGAUUUAUUGUUCGUAUUUUUUUUUUUUUUGAUAUUUUAUUAAUUUGACAACAAUUGUGAUUCAUUUUACAUGACAUUAUCAUUUUCCUUGUCUAUGGAUUUAAUUUUUGUUCCUUUUAUUUUAGGUACUUCCAUAUAUAUAAUGUCUAGUGUUUAACAUUAAUGAAGAUCAUGAAAAAGAGGUGGAUGAGAUUGAAGAAGACGGCUAUAAAGAAGCAUUAUAUGAAACUAGUUAGUAUUUAUGGAUGGCAAUUCAAGCAAUUCUCUACGUGAUAAAUGAUCAUAUAAACAAUGUGUUGUAGACGUAUUACACGUUCACUAACUAGGCGACCGAAAACUAGAUAUGAAUAUGACUAUAUACAUAAAAUAUUAAAGGAGGAUCCAGAAAACUUUCGACAAGUUUAUAAAAUGUACCUGGAUAUAUUUCUAAAUUAAGCAAUAUCAUUAAAGAAAAAACUUACAGGAUACUAGGUAUAUUUGUAUUGAAGAAAUGCUUGCAACAUUCCUACUUGGUCAAAAUACUCGAUAUUGCUUGAGUCGUCAAAAAUUUGGUCGAUCCCAUUUCAUUACUAGCUGAAGUUUCAACAAGAUUUUACGGACAUUAAACAAAUUUGCGGUAGAUAUGAUAGUCAAACCGAGAUUCGCCGUGCCAGAAAAAAUAAGGGAAAUUACAAGAUUUUACCCAUACUUUAAAGUAAGUGAUGAAAUAAGAUUUAUAAUAUUUUUUGUUUUAUGUUUUCAUUAGUGUUUUUGUGAAUUUUUUGUAUUGUUUUAUUAUUUUUAGGAUUGUAUUAGAGUUAUUGAUGGUAUCCAUAUUCUAGCAAUGGUAAUUGGACGUGAUAAAAGCAGUUAUAGAAAUCGUCAUGGAACAAUUUCUCAGAAUGUUUUGGCCGCUUGUAACUUUGAUUUGAAAUUUAUAAACGUGAUUAGUGGGUGGGAGGAAUUAGCACAUAAUUCUAAAGUGUUGAGUGAUGCUUUAACAAAGAGAAAUGGACUUGAAGUGCCAAAAGGUACGGCUUAAUUAUUUCAUUUUUUCUUUUAUCUUAUUGUUUCAAAUUACUUGUUAACUUUACAAUUAUUUUAUAUUCAUAUUCAGGUAAAUAUUUUUUGGGAGACUAUGGAUUUUCAAAUCGACGUCAGUUUUUAACUCCUUUUCGAGGUGUCCGUUAUCAUCUUCAAGAUUUUGUUGGUCAAGAUCGUGACCCUGAAAAUAUAAAGGACUUGUUUAAUCUUCGUCAUGUUUCCUUGAAGAACGUAGUUGAGAGGAUAUUUAGUAUAUUUAAAUCAAGAUUCACAAUUUUCAAAACAGCUCCUCCAUUUCUAUAUCGUACAUUCGUACACAAGCGGAACUCGUAUUAGCUUGCGCAGGAUUACACAAUUUUCUCCGCAAAGAAUGUCGUUCCGAUGAAUUUCCAAUUGAGCCUGAUAACGAAGAUUCAUCAUCUUUUUCGAUUAAUGAGGGGGAAGGCUUUGAACCAUUUUUUUAGAGUCAAGAGCAAGAAAGAGAAAAUGUUAAUGCAUGGAGGGCUUCUCUAGUAGCAGACAUGUGGAAUGAUGUUGAAAAUGUUUAAUUUUUUUUAUUUUUAUUUUUUGUUGAUCAUUACUAAAAUACUUUUAUUUUUUUAAUAUUUUGAUUAUUUGUUAAUCUACUUGAUAUAACUUCAAUUUUUUUUGGAAAAGAAAUUGACAUGGAAAAU
Molecule: long non-coding RNA, 4619 nt
Filed under: Olea europaea subsp. europaea
Lineage: Eukaryota; Viridiplantae; Streptophyta; Magnoliopsida; Lamiales; Oleaceae
Source: RNAcentral